ACAUGGUGAUUUAAAGCUGGAGUUAGGCUUCAGCAGAAGUGAGAGCUGGAACAUGUUCAUACUUAACAUUUUGUUCCUUUUAUAACCGAUUACUGUGUUUUAUAGGCUACAGUGUGGCAUUUCUUCAGUUUAGUGUAUACAUUUCACUAUUGUUCAUGCAUGGAGUUCAACUGUAUGAAUGUAGACCAAAGCAGCACAAGUGAGGGUUCAGCGGGUGCAGCCUAGUUCAUUUUCCAGCCUUUUCAUCGAUUUCAAGUGUGGAUGAAUGCUGGCGUGUUCUUGGCUUGGGGAGCCUAUUAGGCCGCUGUGUUCCAGCUGCCGGCCCCGCACUUGGCGACAGUGGUUUUCACGUAUCUCUGUGUGCACUGGAGCAGGGCAGAAUGCGAUGGCUCGGAUUCAGCAGACUGAAUGGAAAGUGCCAGAGGCCCUACAGCGCAACAGCAGAUGGGAAUGGCAGUGUGAAUAUCUCUCUCUCUGUCUCUCUUUCUCUCUCUCUCUCUCUCUGUUAUCACACGCCAUCUCAUCCCACUGAGCAUUGUCAGCCACUCCCUUCACCAUCUGACCUACUGCAUUUAUGUGUGUGUGUAAGACUACAGGCCUGGCC
This is a long non-coding RNA of Ictalurus punctatus (channel catfish), 604 nucleotides long. The record is from Ensembl. Lineage: Eukaryota; Metazoa; Chordata; Actinopteri; Siluriformes; Ictaluridae.